RNAcentral lists this ribosomal RNA (560 nucleotides) under uncultured marine crenarchaeote. RNAcentral's name for it is "bacterial SSU rRNA". It matches the Rfam family "Archaeal small subunit ribosomal RNA", at positions 1 to 569 of the family's 1478-position model. The record is from RNAcentral. Lineage: Archaea; Thermoproteati; Thermoproteota.
UUCCGGUUGAUCCCGCCGGACCUGACUGCUAUCGGAUUGAUACUAAGCCAUGCGAGUCAUUGUAGCAAUACAAGGCAGACGGCUCAGUAACGCGUAGUCAACCUAACCUAUGGACGGGAAUAACCUCGGGAAACUGAGAAUAAUGCCCGAUAGAACAUUAUGCCUGGAAUGGUUUAUGUUCCAAAUGAUUUAUCGCCGUAGGAUGGGACUGCGGCCUAUCAGUUCGUUGGUGAGGUAAUGGCCCACCAAGACUAUUACAGGUACGGGCUCUGAGAGGAGUAGCCCGGAGAUGGGUACUGAGACACGGACCCAGGCCCUAUGGGGCGCAGCAGGCGAGAAAACUUUGCAAUGUGCGAAAGCACGACAAGGUUAAUCCGAGUGGUUUCUGCUAAAGGAACCUUUUGUCAGUCCUAGAAACACUGAUGAAUAAGGGGUGGGCAAGUUCUGGUGUCAGCCGCCGCGGUAAAACCAGCACCUCAAGUGGUCAGGAUGAUUAUUGGGCCUAAAGCAUCCGUAGCCUGUUCCGUAAGUUUUCGGUUAAUCUGUACGCUCACGUACAG